AUCCAACUGAUGAGUCCCAGAUAGGGUGAAAUGCGCGUCAAACUGGAU
Non-coding RNA from Schistosoma mattheei, 48 nucleotides. NCBI's taxonomy places the organism in Eukaryota, Metazoa, Platyhelminthes, Trematoda, Strigeidida, Schistosomatidae. The record is from Rfam.